UUAAUUGCAACACAUUGAGGCUCCUUAUUGAAAAAUAUUAGCAAUUCAACGUAAAUUAAUUAUCAAUCUCCAGCAUAAGGGAUGAAAUAAAACACAAACCAUGUCAAAUAAUUAUAUAUUUUAAUAUAAUAUAGGUAUGAACAAUAUCAUUUCUCCCCAUUUCAGAUCAAUGAACUUAAAUGCCUAAUAUACAUAUGCUGUGAGUCACAAUUUGCACAAUGCACCAACAUGCUAUAACAAAAUUUGAUUAUAAACGUUGCUGCUAUAACUCUUCAACUUCUGAGACCAGUUCAACUUUGAACUUGCGCCAAUCAAAAUUGAUAAACCAAAGGAAGCUUAUAUAACCAUGAGAAGACCAAAGUGUUUGCUUCUAUCUUCAGUUCUCCAGUUACCACUUCACCGGAGGAUGCUCCGUCUGAAGUAUUUAAGAAAGUAACUUGUAAAAAGGUUAUCCAGAAAGAAUAAGCUAAUCGAGCGCAGUCUUGAAAGUAUUUAAGAAAGGAACUUGUAAAAAGGUUAUGUAGAAAGAAUAAGCUAAUCGACCGCAGUCUUGUUUCUUCGACCUGUAAUUGGUUUAGGUAAGCCAUCAAAGAUUGGCUUAGCAAUGGCUGCAGUAGAAAUUGCUUGAAAAUCUGGCUUCAAAUUCCACAGGGAAGACAAUGUAC
Molecule: long non-coding RNA, 665 nt
Filed under: Nicotiana benthamiana
Lineage: Eukaryota; Viridiplantae; Streptophyta; Magnoliopsida; Solanales; Solanaceae
Description: long non-coding RNA (NBEN_LNC021109)
Source: RNAcentral